This 253-nucleotide ribosomal RNA is filed under the name uncultured bacterium. RNAcentral's name for it is "partial 16S ribosomal RNA". It matches the Rfam family "Bacterial small subunit ribosomal RNA", at positions 524 to 776 of the family's 1533-position model. The record is from RNAcentral.
GACGUAGGGCGCGAGCGUUGUCCGGAUUUAUUGGGCGUAAAGAGCUCGUAGGCGGCUUGUCGCGUCGACUGUGAAAACCCACGGCUCAACUGUGGGCUUGCAGUCGAUACGGGCAGGCUAGAGUUCGGUAGGGGAGACUGGAAUUCCUGGUGUAGCGGUGAGAUGCGCAGAUAUCAGGAGGAACACCGGUGGCGAAGGCGGGUCUCUGGGCCGAUACUGACGCUGAGGAGCGAAAGCGUGGGGAGCGAACAGG